This 447-nucleotide long non-coding RNA is filed under the name Prunus persica (peach). RNAcentral describes it as "long non-coding RNA (PPER_LNC003534)". Lineage: Eukaryota; Viridiplantae; Streptophyta; Magnoliopsida; Rosales; Rosaceae. The record is from RNAcentral.
UUUAAUUUUUUUCCUUUUACCAGUCACCUUUUCUAGAACUUCAAAUAUAUAAGCAAAUAAAUCUUGGAAUCCCUAAUUUAGCAAAUAAAUCAUGGCAUUAGUGCUUCAGCUCAUGGGUCGGUCUACAAUUUCUUUUUUUAGUUUUUCGUCACAUAAGUAGCUAUAUUCAGUACAGAUUUUUUAUUUUUUGUCACAUAUUAUAUAAAUUUUUUUUGGUUUAACUAUGCUAAUGUCCCCUGAAAAAUAAUCAAUGUCUCAUAUUGUCCUCUAAAAAUCACUAUAACCCAUAUUCUCUAAUAAUAAUUCAUUUUUACGUUUCAUUCCCCUCUUUUCCCCAUUUGUCGGUUCAAUUGUCAAGUCAGUCAACAAAUCUAUUCCACUUUUCUUAUAACAUGUUUACCAAACAAAUGUUAUGUAUCAUAAGUAGGUUAGAAUAAUUGGCCGAAG